GAUGAACGCUGGCGGCGUGCCUAAUACAUGCAAGUCGAGCGAACAGACGAGGAGCUUGCUCCUCUGACGUUAGCGGCGGACGGGUGAGUAACACGUGGAUAACCUACCUAUAAGACUGGGAUAACUUCGGGGAACCGGAGCUAAUACCGGAUAACAUGUUGAACCGCAUGGUUCAACAGUGAAAGACGGUUUUGCUGUCACUUAUAGAUGGAUCCGCGUCGCAUUAGCUAGUUGGUAAGGUAACGGCUUACCAAGGCAACGAUGCGUAGCCGACCUGAGAGGGUGAUCGGCCACACUGGAACUGAGACACGGUCCAGACUCCUACGGGAGGCAGCAGUAGGGAAUCUUCCGCAAAGGGCGAAAGCCUGACGGAGCAACGCCGCGUGAGUGAAGAAGGUCUUCGGAUCGUAAAACUCUGUUAUUAGGGAAGAACAAAUGUGUAAGUAACUAUGCACGUCUUGACGGUACCUAAUCAGAAAGCCACGGCUAACUACGUG
This 497-nucleotide ribosomal RNA is filed under the name uncultured bacterium. Its description in RNAcentral is "partial 16S ribosomal RNA". It matches the Rfam family "Bacterial small subunit ribosomal RNA", at positions 28 to 507 of the family's 1533-position model. The record is from RNAcentral.